Molecule: non-coding RNA, 178 nt
Organism: Ricinus communis (castor bean)
Lineage: Eukaryota; Viridiplantae; Streptophyta; Magnoliopsida; Malpighiales; Euphorbiaceae
Source: Rfam
AGGAGCCGUAUGAGAUGAAAAUCUCAUGUACGGUUCUAGAACGGAGAUUCUUUGAAUCAAAUGACGACAGUAACGGAUGCCUGCUCAAUCCGAAGGAAAUUAUGCAAAAGCUUUACAGAAUUAUUAUGAAGCUAUGCGGCUAGAAAUUGAUCCUUAUGAUUGAAGUUAUAUACUCUAU